RNAcentral lists this ribosomal RNA (87 nucleotides) under uncultured bacterium ARCTIC96BD-19. The record is from RNAcentral.
GACCCACCUGAUCCCAUCCCGAACUCAGAAGUGAAACCACUUAGCGCCGAUGGUAGUGUGGGGUCUCCCCAUGUGAGAGUAGGACAU